GUGGUCGCAGGCGGGGUGGGGCGUUUUGUGGGGUUCCUCUCCCGAAACUGUCAGGGAGUCUCCGUGGGCCAGGGGAGCGACUGUCCCUGUCCUGCCGCGUGUGCCCAUCGCGGGGGAACGAGGCUCUCGGUGCUGGGGGAAAGGCAACCCGCACACCCCCCGCCCCACCCGUUCCUGCCCGCGGGAGGAGUUGCGGUUCUGUGGAGGGGCCUGGGCAGGGAACAGAAUUCUACGGCUUGGGGAGAAGGGGUCUCUGAGUGGAGGGGUGAAGAUGGCGUUUUCAGUAAGGUGGAGAUAGAGGGGACACGUCCCUUGGGUGUGCGACUUCAGCCGUUCAGGACUCAGAUAUUGAUAUCAGGAUUCAAAAUAGGAAGAGGUCUCUGGAUGGCAGACUCUGAAAAGAAAUGCUGUUUUAAGAGGUAUGCCUCAUGUAGGCCAAAAUAUUCUGGACUGGUUUCUAUAUAAAUGAUAAGGCUGAACUUCUGAGGAGUCCCUCUGCUGAUCCUCUCUGUAAUCUUGCAUAAAUAAUAGUUUCAGUGCUGACAUCUCUCUGCAGUGUGAAAGCUUGUGCUGAGAUAUACAGGCUUGUCAUAUCAAUUUUAGUGGAAAGGUCUGUAAUAUGUUGCUUACAUUUUUGCUCGAUCAUCUUAGGAGAACAAUGCCUUAGUGGAUGAAGGGGAUGAUGCACAAACAAAACAAAUCUACUUUCUGAAAUGUUCAUGUCCACUUUCAGCCACUCAUGACUUUGUGUGUGUAGGAGUUCGUUUGUUUGCUUGUUUUUUAAUUGGGACUAUAGUCCAGAUUUUGUAAAUGCCCUCACUCCCUUUCUGGUGUUUUGUAAGACAUCCAGACAGUGAAAGGCUGACACCGUGCCAGCAUUGUGGUUUAAAAUAAUGUCAGUUGGAUCCAAUAUGAGGAAAUACUAAUUUUUUUGCAAAUUAUCUUUUUUCCAUGUUAGCUGAAUGUUUGGAACAUUUUCUGUGUUUGUUUGGGGUUUCAUGUUCCAGCACUGAAGAAAGUUUCUCUUCUCUCUCCAUUGUUGGUAUGUUGUUUUUGAAUAAUUCAUUGCUUGGCAGCUGUUAAGAAAACUGUCUCUUCAAAAUGAAAUUCUUCUACCAGGUCUUCCAUCCAUUUCAAGCAGAUGUGGUGACAUAUGUUAGAAAGGUAGGCUUUGUCUUUGUAAGAGAAAGAUUGGUGUGAGUGUUUUCUUCUUUUAGCUUUUUUAAAUGGGAUCUCUCAAUUCUUUUUAAGCACCUCGUAGGGCUUCCUGUUUCUCUAAAGCAGUGCAAUGCUGAUUUGUUCUGCCUCCAAAAUAAUAACCAGGAUGAAGUACUAACAACUUGGGUUAAGAGUGGCUCUUCAGCUAUUGAGUAAGAUCUUGGUGUUGCUCUUUUUAAUGCAGUGUUUACAAAACCGCUAAAGAAAGUGAUGCUGUGAAUUAGGGAAGAUGUUAUUGCUAUUUUCUACACAACCAGUGGACAGAAAUCAAGAUGAGGUGCACCUCCACUACUCUUAGAGGUGCACACUUGCAGGAUGAGAGGCAUUGUACCCAAGUUACAAUGCAGGAGAUUCCUAUGAGACAGUAGUAACAUUUUUUGCCUGUGAAGGUGGUCAGGCACUGGAAAAGGCUGCCCAAAGAGGCUGUGGAAUCUUAAUUGUUGAACAUUUUCUGAGUGAAGCCCAUGGAAUAGCCCACUGUGACUCUUUUUAAGUGGGCCUGCUUAAAUGCAAGGUUGGAUUAGAGAAGCUUGAAGAGGUUACUUCAUUAUAUCCAUGACAUUAUCCUAUGAAUCUGUGUAACAUGUUGAAGGGACACUUUUUAUGAAUUUUACAUUUCCUGUAAAAAAAGUUAAACAGCUGAGGCUCAGGUUGAUGUUUUGUGUGUCUUUUUUUAGAUGGGUUUUGUUUUCUGGGGAUUGUUUAGUUUGGGACAGGAGGGGAUUGUUUUUGUUUUGCUUUGCUUUUUUAUUUGUUUUUGUUUUGGGUUUUUUUGGUGGGUUGGUUUUUUUUAGGUUGGUUGGUUGGUUAGUGAGUUGAGUAGAGUUCCGUGGCUAAAGAACUGAGGAGUGACUUCUUACUAUUCCACCAACAUGGUUUUGAGGGAGAAGUGUGGAAACCCAGGGCACCAUGAAUAUUUCUCUGUCUGCUCUGGGGUGUCCUGACCCCGAGGGGAGCACUGACUUUGACCCUCAUUCAUGGACAAAGUUUCCUAAACUUCAAGAUAGACUAGAAUCCACAAAAGUGUAAAAUAGAUUAUAGAAAGUAGUGUAGGUGUAUCACAUGGUGAGAAAUUUAGGAUUUGGAAUUUUUAGUGUGCUGUGGAUGGAAGCAAGAUGGAGGGCACAGGAUGUCGUCCUCGAUUUCUUCAUGCUGCUUCUUCCUUCUUCUUCAUGGGUUUGAGAGGCAUUUUGUAAUUGGGCAGAAAAGUCUGCAUUUCAGGCUCUCUGAGAUGAGUUAUUGGGUUAAAAGGGAAAAUAAUCUGGUUGUCAGUUCUUAAUUGGAUGGUUUAGUCCUAAAAUACCUUGUAACAAGGGAUGGUUAGCCAUUUUGUGCCUUCUGAUGAAAAGCUGCUGAACUCAUAGUAAGGAGACUGUUUUACUCAUAAGAAAUAAUAAACACUGGAGUCCAAACA
Molecule: long non-coding RNA, 2632 nt
Organism: Zonotrichia albicollis (white-throated sparrow)
Lineage: Eukaryota; Metazoa; Chordata; Aves; Passeriformes; Passerellidae
Source: Ensembl